Molecule: ribosomal RNA, 219 nt
Filed under: Filamoeba nolandi
Lineage: Eukaryota; Evosea; Variosea
Description: partial Trypanosomatid mitochondrial large subunit ribosomal RNA
Source: RNAcentral
AGAUAACAAUCAACAUAAUUCUGAAAAAGUGUUAACGAAGAAAGAUAUUUUAAAUCAGUUUGGAAAAUCAAGAUUUGCCAGAUGGCCCCCAACUUUAGAUGUGACCAAAUAUUCUCUGUACUUUAAUAUACGCACUUGGUGGCUUGACCAAAACAACAUCAUCCCAACUGUCAAUCUACUCGUUGGUCCCAUUCUUUUUGGAAUUGUAUUAGGUUCUAU